GCGGCGUGCCUAAUACAUGCAAGUCGAGCGGACCCUUCGGGGUUAGCGGCGGACGGGUGAGUAACACGUAGGCAACCUGCCUGUAAGACUGGGAUAACUACCGGAAACGGUAGCUAAGACCGGAUAAGUGAUUCUCUUGCAUGAGAGGAUCAAGAAACACGGGGCAACCUGUGGCUUACAGAUGGGCCUGCGGCGCAUUAGCUAGUUGGUGGGGUAACGGCUCACCAAGGCGACGAUGCGUAGCCGACCUGAGAGGGUGAUCGGCCACACUGGGACUGAGACACGGCCCAGACUCCUACGGGAGGCAGCAGUAGGGAAUCUUCCGCAAUGGACGCAAGUCUGACGGAGCAACGCCGCGUGAGUGAUGAAGGUUUUCGGAUCGUAAAGCUCUGUUGCCAGGGAAGAACGUCGCGGAGAGUAACUGCUCUGCGAAUGACGGUACCUGAGAAGAAAGCCCCGGCUAACUACGUGCCAGCAGCCGCGGUAAUACGUAGGGGGCAAGCGUUGUCCGGAAUUAUUGGGCGUAAAGCGCGCG
RNAcentral lists this ribosomal RNA (535 nucleotides) under uncultured bacterium. RNAcentral's name for it is "bacterial SSU rRNA". It matches the Rfam family "Bacterial small subunit ribosomal RNA", at positions 39 to 571 of the family's 1533-position model. The record is from RNAcentral.